AGAGUUUGAUCCUGGCUCAGAACGAACGCUGGCGGCGUGCUUAACACAUGCAAGUCGAACGGAUCGAGGGGCUUGCUCCUUGAUUAGUGGCGCACGGGUGAGUAACGCGUGGAUAAUCUGCCCGAUGAUCUGGGAUAACAUCUCGAAAGGGGUGCUAAUACCGGAUAAGCCCACGAAGGCUUUGGCCUUUGCGGGAAAAGAGGGGGACCUUCGGGCCUCUUGUCAUCGGAUGAGUCCGCGUACCAUUAGCUAGUUGGUGGGGUAAAGGCCCACCAAGGCGACGAUGGUUAGCUGGUCUGAGAGGAUGAUCAGCCACACUGGAACUGAGACACGGUCCAGACUCCUACGGGAGGCAGCAGUGGGGAAUUUUGCGCAAUGGGGGAAACCCUGACGCAGCAACGCCGCGUGAGUGAUGAAGGCCUUCGGGUCGUAAAGCUCUGUCUAGAGGAAAGAAAUGUACGGUGGCUAAUAUCCAUUGUACUUGACGGUACCUCUGAAGGAAGCACCGGCUAACUCCGUGCCAGCAGCCGCGGUAAUACGGAGGGUGCGAGCGUUGUUCGGAAUUAUUGGGCGUAAAGCGCGUGUAGGCGGUUUCUUAAGUCUGAUGUGAAAGCCCCGGGCUCAACCUGGGAAGUGCAUUGGAUACUGGGAGACUUGAAUACGGGAGAGGGUAGUGGAAUUCCUAGUGUAGGAGUGAAAUCCGUAGAUAUUAGGAGGAACACCGGUGGCGAAGGCGGCUACCUGGACCGAUAUUGACGCUGAGACGCGAAAGCGUGGGGAGCAAACAGGAUUAGAUACCCUGGUAGUCCACGCCGUAAACGAUGAGUACUAGGUGUUGCGGGUAUUGACCCCUGCAGUGCCGCAGCUAACGCAUUAAGUACUCCGCCUGGGAAGUACGGUCGCAAGACUAAAACUCAAAGGAAUUGACGG
RNAcentral lists this ribosomal RNA (930 nucleotides) under uncultured bacterium. RNAcentral's name for it is "bacterial SSU rRNA". It matches the Rfam family "Bacterial small subunit ribosomal RNA", at positions 8 to 916 of the family's 1533-position model. The record is from RNAcentral.